This is a long non-coding RNA of Gossypium arboreum, 269 nucleotides long. RefSeq lists it as uncharacterized. Lineage: Eukaryota; Viridiplantae; Streptophyta; Magnoliopsida; Malvales; Malvaceae. The record is from RefSeq and is a predicted model, not a curated record. The transcript is spliced from 2 exons.
UCAAGCUUCCAAGCUCGAUUAGCAAGGAAAACUAAAAUUCGGGCUAAAAUGGGGAAAAUACCAAGUUGUGGACGAAAUGGUAAAAGUAGCCAUUUUCGCAUACGAGUGUUGACAAGCCAGCUCAGAAAUCGGAAACGGUCGGAGGCACGCUCACACUAUCCGUAUACCAUCUUGGCAUAAUGGCUUGUAUAUUUUGAGUAUGGCAUGUAUAGCAUUAUAAUCAUUUUGUGUAUAUGGUCUUAUGAUAUGGUUAUUGAGUGGUAUGGAAA